AUACGUAGGUGGCGAGCGUUGUCCGGAUUUACUGGGCGUAAAGGGAGCGUAGGCGGAUUUUUAAGUGAGAUGUGAAAUACUCGGGCUUAACCUGAGUGCUGCAUUUCAAACUGGAAGUCUAGAGUGCAGGAGAGGAGAAGGGAAUUCCUAGUGUAGCGGUGAAAUGCGUAGAGAUUAGGAAGAACACCAGUGGCGAAGGCGCUUCUCUGGACUGUAACUGACGCUGGAGGCUACGAAAGCGGUGGGGAGAC
RNAcentral lists this ribosomal RNA (251 nucleotides) under uncultured bacterium. Its description in RNAcentral is "partial 16S ribosomal RNA". It matches the Rfam family "Bacterial small subunit ribosomal RNA", at positions 523 to 771 of the family's 1533-position model. The record is from RNAcentral.